Myotis brandtii (Brandt's bat) is the source of this 79-nucleotide non-coding RNA. NCBI's taxonomy places the organism in Eukaryota, Metazoa, Chordata, Mammalia, Chiroptera, Vespertilionidae. The record is from Rfam.
GCCUCCGCUCACACCCACUGCUGGCACCUAGCGCUGGCCCCGAUCACUUGGUGCCAUCAGUGGGUGUGAGUGGUGGCUG